GACGAACGCUGGCGGCGUGCUUAACACAUGCCAGUCGAACGGAAAGGCCCUGCUUUUGUGGGGUUCUCGAGUGGCGAACGGGUGAGUAACACGUGAGUAACCUGCCCUUGACUUUGGGAUAACUUCAGGAAGCUGGGGCUAAUACCGGAUAGGAGCUCCUGCUGCAUGGUGGGGGUUGGAAAGUUUCGGCGGUUGGGGAUGGACUCGCGGCUUAUCAGCUUGUUGGUGGGGUAGUGGCUUACCAAGGCUUUGACGGGUAGCCGGCCUGAGAGGGUGACCGGCCACAUUGGGACUGAGAUACGGCCCAGACACCUACGGGAGGGAGCAGUGGGGAAUAUUGCACAAUGGGCGGAAGCCUGGUGCAGCAACGCCGCGUGCGGGAUGACGGCCUUCGGGUUGUAAACCGCUUGCGCCUGUGACGAAGCGUGAGUGACGGUAAUGGGUAAAGAAGCACCGGCUAACUACGUG
This 468-nucleotide ribosomal RNA is filed under the name uncultured bacterium. RNAcentral describes it as "partial 16S ribosomal RNA". It matches the Rfam family "Bacterial small subunit ribosomal RNA", at positions 28 to 507 of the family's 1533-position model. The record is from RNAcentral.